AUUGAACGCUGGCGGCAUGCUUUACACAUGCAAGUCGAACGGUAACAGGCCUUCGGGUGCUGACGGGUGGCGAACGGGUGAGUAAUGCAUCGGAACGUGCCCAGAGGUGGGGGAUAACGCAGCGAAAGCUGUGCUAAUACCGCAUGUGAUCUGAGGAUGAAAGCGGGGGACCAGGCAGCAAUGUUUGGCCUCGCGCCUUUGGAGCGGCCGAUGUCAGAUUAGGUAGUUGGUGGGGUAAAGGCCUACCAAGCCGACGAUCUGUAGCUGGUCUGAGAGGACGACCAGCCACACUGGAACUGAGACACGGCCCAGACUCCUACGGGAGGCAGCAGUGGGGAAUUUUGGACAAUGGGCGCAAGCCUGAUCCAGCAAUGCCGCGUGCGGGAAGAAGGCCUUCGGGUUGUAAACCGCUUUUGUACGGAACGAAAAGGCUCUGGCUAAUACCUGGGGCUGAUGACGGUACCGUAAGAAUAAGCACCGGCUAACUACGUG
Molecule: ribosomal RNA, 492 nt
Filed under: uncultured bacterium
Lineage: Bacteria
Description: partial 16S ribosomal RNA
Rfam family: Bacterial small subunit ribosomal RNA
Source: RNAcentral